Chlorocebus sabaeus (green monkey) is the source of this 9866-nucleotide non-coding RNA. NCBI's taxonomy places the organism in Eukaryota, Metazoa, Chordata, Mammalia, Primates, Cercopithecidae. The record is from RefSeq and is a predicted model, not a curated record.
GUUUUAGGGAUUCUUUAGUUGACAAUUAAUUGAGAGAGUUAAACUGUUAUCCAAAGACUUGGAUUCAGUAGAAAGGAAUGCUUGAGUUAAGGUUUUUGUUACGUAGAUAAAGCUCUCAGGUAGCAGCCCUGGGUGAGAAUAGAUGGUAAAUAUCUCUUUUCAAGCCUUAAACGUGUAAGACUCACAGUUAACUUCUCCUAGAUCCAGGAAAGGCCUAGAGAGGAUAGACCUGUCGCAUUAAUGGAGAUUCUCUACAGAUGCAAAUUUCUCCCACAAAAUAUGACUUUGCAAGGCCAUUUCAACUUGUUGGCCCUGUGGUAGCUAUUUCUAAAUACAUCAAAUAAAAGUGCUUUGGGGUGAAAUGUUUUGAUUUCCUUCAGGAUUUGCUAUCUAUCAUGUGAUGCUAUACCAGAGUCAGGUUGGAAAGUAAGCCACAUUAUACUUGGUUAAUAAACAUCUAAUGAGAUUUUACGGUUUGUAGGGCAAUACCUUCCAGGCCCCUUAGAUGGGAAUUUUGGCAAGAGAAGAAAAGGUCAGAUUUUAGUCCUCACCAUUAAGUAUUGUGGUGUGUCGUUAUAGAAUAGGAGGUAACUGAAAUGUUGUAUGAACCAGAUCUGGCUAAUGAGGAGAGGAGCUUCUGAGGCACAGAGCUGAUGGGCAUGUACUUUUGUUUUCUUUUUGCUCCUUUAUUUCUCUCUUUCCUGAAACAGGAUUGUUGCAAAUGCAGCACAAGGAUGAAGACCUAUAUGUUAAGGAUAGCAGAGAAGAGAGAGAGAGAGAGAGCCAGAGCCAUUGCUAGUGACAUCCCUGAACUACUAUGCUUUCCUCACUUCUCUCUAUCCCUAGAAUUCCUGUAGUUGAAUAAGCACUUAAAUGUUUACAUGUUAAGUUUUCCUAUUAGGGUUACUGUUCCUUGCCCUUGAAUGUAAUUUAAAUAGACUCAGCAGAUUUUAAAAUUUUCAUUCGAAUUUUAAGACUUUACAAAAUUUAUGAUAUAAAUUAUAUACAGCCGAUUCAAGUUUCAAAUUUAAUGGUACUGAGGAAAGAGAGAGACCCUCUCAUAUUGUUUUACAUUGUUUUGUACUCAGUACCUGUUUUAAGAAAAAACAAUCAAGUAAAACCAAAAACAGGCAGCCUGGCGCCAGGCCCGGAACCAGGCCUGGGUCUGCCUGGCCUAAACCCAGUAGUUAAAAAUCAACUCAUAAAAAAAAAAAAAAAAAAAUCAACUCAUGACUUAGAAACCGAUGUUUCUGACAUUGUAUAGAACAUGGUGAAACUCCCUACCCUGUUCUGUUUCACUCUGACCACCGGUACAUGCAGCCCCUAUCACAUACCUGCUGCUUGCUCAAAUCAAACACGACCCUUUCAUGUGAAAUCUUUAGUGUUGUGAACCCUUAAAAGGGACAGAAACUGUGCACUCAGGGAGAUUGGAUUUUAAGGCAGUAGCUUGCCAAUGUUCCCAGCUGAAUAAAAGCCCUUCCUUCUACAACUCGGUGUCUGAGAGGUUUUGUCUGCAGCUUGUCCUGCUGCAUUUCUUGGUUCCCUGACCGGGAAGCAAGAACUGAGGGAUGGCUGAGGCAGCCCCUUAGGCGGCUUAGGCCUGCCCUGUGGAGCAUCCCUGCCGGGGGACUCUGACCAGCCUGAGUGACACGAUCCAAAGAGCGCCCCUGGGUAGGCAGUUGUCCCGGUGGAACGCCUCACCAGAGCAGCGCCUAGCAGUCCCCCAUGAGGAUUAACACAGUGGCUGAACACAGGGAAGGAACUGGCACCUGGAGUCCAGACAUCUGAAACUUGUUUAUUCUAGUGGGCCUAACCUCUGAGACCAUCCUUAAACAUCUGUAGACUGGGAGCUGUACGUGGAUGGGAGCAGCUUCACUAACCCCUGCAAAGUGACUCUGAAAAAGACGACAAGCCCUGCUCCAGUCACACCCGGAAGCUGACUGGUCCACGCAUGGCCGAAGCAUGAGGAAACUCAUCGUGGGACUCAUUUUCCUUAAAAUUUGGACUUGUGCAGUAAAGACUUCAACUGACCUUACUCAGACUGAGGGCUGCUCCCAGUGUAUACAUCAAGUCACUGAGGCAGGACAAAAGAUUGCUACAGUCCUAUUAUUUUAUGGUUAUUAUAAGUGUACCAGAACUCUAAAAAGAAACUUGUUUGUAUAAUGCUAUUCUAUCCAAGGUAUGUAGCCCAGGAAAUAACCAACCUGAUGCAUGUUAUGACCCAUUUUAAGCCUCCCAUGAUCACAGUUUUUAAAAUAAAAUUAAGGACUGGUCCUUUUCUAAGUGACACAAGUAAAGUAAUAGCUAAAACAGAAGAAAGAGGGGUCUGCAAAAAUGUAACCUUAAAAUUUGACACCUGUGCUGCUAUUAAUAGUAAGCAGCAUGAGAUGGGAUGCGGUUCUCUAGAUUGAGAAAAAAGUUACAAAGCAGAAAAUAAGUAUAUCUGUCAAGAAUCAUAUUUAUGUGAAAUGUGUCAAUACUGGUCUUACGUCAUUUGGGCCACUUGAAAAAAAAUAAAAAAUAAAAAAGAUCCUGUUUGGCUCCAAAAAGGAAAAGUCAGCCCCUCCUGCACAAGUGGGAGCUGCAACCCUUUAGAACUGGUUAUCACAAACCCCUCAGACCCAAAGUGGACUAAAAAAAUAUGUAACAUUAGGCAUUGAUGGAAAAUGACUAGAUCCUAGCUUAAGCAUCCUAAUAAAAGGCAAGGUUCAAAGACACUCUCUAGAACCAGUAUUUCAGACUUUCUAUGAUGAACUAAAUGUGCCAGUGCCUGAGAUUCCAGGAAAAACUAAAAAUUUGUUUUUGCAAUUAGCCGAACAUGUAGCCCAGUCUCUAAAAGUCAUUUCGUGUUAUGUUUGUGGAGGAACUGUAACAGGAGAUCAAUGGCCAUGGGAAGCCCAAGAAUUAGUUCCUACAGGCCCAGUUCCUGAUGCAUUCCUGGCCCAAAAGAACCACCCUGACAAUUUUUGGGUUCUAAAUGUCUCAAUUAUUAGACAGUAUUGCAUAGCUAAAUAGUUCCACCCAGAAUUCCAUCAGGACUAGACUGCCCCCACCGGAUUAUACUGGAUAUGUAGACAUAGAGCCUAUGCUAAGCUGCCUGACCAGUAGACAGGCGGUUGUGUUGUUGGCACUAUUAAACCAUCUUUCUUCUUACUGCCCAUGAAGACAGGUGAACUUCUGGGCUUCCCUGUCUAUGCUUCCCACAGAAAACAAAGCAUAGCCACAAGUAAUUAAAAAGAUAAUAAAUAACCUCCUGAAAAUUUGUACAAUACUAUAGGCCUGCCACUUAGACACAAGAUGGCUCAUGGGAAUACUGGACCCCCAUUUACAUGCUCAACUGUAUCAUACGGUUGCAAGCUGUUUUAAAAAUCAUCACUAAUAAAACCAGUCAAGCCUUGACUAUUCUGGCCCAGCAAGAAACUCAGAUAAGAAAUGCUAUCUAUCAAAAUAGAUUGGCUCUUGACUACUUGCUAGCUGCUGAAAGAGAGGUCUAUAAGAAAUGUAACCUUACUAAUUACUGUCUACACAUAGAUAAUCAAAAGCAAGUAGUUAAAGACAUAGUCACAUGUGCCUGUACAAGUGUAGCAUGAAUUCAACCCUGAAGCCAUGUUUAAAAAUUGGUUCCCAGCACUAGGAGGAUUUAAAACUCUUAUAAUAAAAGUUAUAAUGGUAAUAAAAACCUGCUUACUGCUCCCAUGUUUGCUACCUGUACUUCUUCAAAUGAUAAAAAAGCUUCAUCAGUAUCUUAGUUCACCAAAAUGCUUCAGCACAAGUGUACUAUAUGAAUCACUAUCAAUCUAUUGCACAAAAAGACAUAAGUAGCAAAAAUAAGAAUGAGAACGCCCACUAAUAAAAAGUGAGAGUCUCAAAAGGGGGGAAAUGAGGAAAGAGAGAGACCCUCUCAUAUUGUUUUAUAUUGUUUUAUACUCAGUACCUGUUUUAAGAAAAAACAAUGAAGUAAAACCAAAGACAGGCAGCCCAGUGCCAGGCCUGCAACCAGGCCUGGGUCUGCCUGGCUUAAACCCAGGAGUUAAAAAUCAACUCAUGACUUAGAAACCAAUGUUCCUGACAUUGUAUAGAAGAACAUUGUGAAACUCCCUGCCCUGUUCUGUUUGACUCUGACCACCGGUGCAUGCAGCCCCUGUCACGUACCUGCUGCUUGCUCAAAUCAAUCACGACCCUUUCAUGUGAAAUCUUUAGUGUCGUGGGCCCUUAAAAGGGACAGAAAUUGUGCACUUGGGGAGUUCGGAUUUUAAGACAGUAGGUUGCUGAUGCUCCCAGCUGAAUAAAGCCCUUCCUUCUACAAUUUGGUGUCUGAGAGGUUUUGUCUGUGGCUCGUCCUGCUACAGUACUAACAGUAAGAAAAGUAUCUCUGUCUAUCUGUUUUAAAAUCUAUUGGAGAUAGAAUAGGAUGGGAUACUACUCAUUCUUCAUGUAGUUUUUUUUUUUUUCCUCUUCUCUUCAGAAAAUCUGUACCCCUACCUCACUGAUGCUAUCCCAAUAACCCCAGGCUUUAGUCACACAUAGGAAAUAGUUGCCAUUCUGUGCUUUCAUAAUGGUUAACCAUGCCUUUCACUUAAAGAAUUCCAGAAAUUGACUUUAGGAGAACUAAACAUUGAACGAAUCUUGUGAAGUGUUCUACCUUGGGAAGGAAUGCUAAACAAUUGAUUUACAGCCUUAUUGCUACUGGCCAGACCACCAGGUGACCCAUUACUCAAUAUAACCAUAGCAACAAGAUGCACUGACCUGCAUACCCUAUGUCUCAUGUGCUUUGCCCAGCUCGGCCUGCAUACCUUACCCCUGAUGUCAAUUCCUGUGCUUUGCUUAACAAAAAUAAUAAUAAAAAAACCUGCUGCAGAUUUUGGCUUUUUCAGAGAGCCAGCCAGAGGAUCCUUACACCUCAGCUCUGCUGUCUCCCUUGUGCUCAAGCACAAGUCCCAAAAUAAAAGCCUUGUCUAGGAAAUCUUGUUGGCCCUUUGUUAACUUCUGUUACAUGGGAGCCAAAGAGCCUGUGGUCUGUAACAUGUUCUCUGGCAACCAUGAAGUGAUUAUGGGAUGUGGAGAGCAUUUUUCUCCAAGGAGGAGGCUUGUGAGCCAGCAGGAUGGUGGGGUGUGUGUGCCCCCUUCAUGGGUGACAGGUGGUCACCUGAAUCUUUGACUCAGCAUUGCCACAACUGGUUGCCCUGAAGCUGAGAUAUGUGUAGUCCUAGACUAGAAGAUGAGAUUCAGCUGAGACCAAGGGCUCAGUUGCAGAAAUCAGUGAUCAUGAGGCUGUGAAAUCCUAAUAACAAACUGAAAUCCUUGAAAGACUACUGGACUACUAGAAAUAGAAACCAGUCUUACAUAGUGAAAUCUCAAAGAAAAGGCCAAACCAAGAUGACGCAAAGUUACACCAUAGACUUAGGUAAGUCACUUCUCUAUGUAUUCACAUCUGAUUCUGUAAAGUGGAUCAAUACUAUUUACUUCACAAGCUUGUUUUAAAAGAUUACAUGUGUUAAUGUAAAUGAAAUAUCUACAUAAAUUACAACGUGCUCAACAAACUGUUAUUGUUGAUAUUGUGAAAGUAACCAAAGGAGCCCCGAAUGUAGUCAGACCACAUGACUUUCAGGUCACGUUCCAUCAUUUGGCUCUUUCGCUUAUCCUUUCUAAACCUAGAUUUCUCUAUCCAUAUGAAGUAGAAGGGACAUGUGUGAUGGUGUGGGCUUUGGGAAGGGGCAGUGUGUGAGGUGGGGAGGCAAAGAGAUGGCAGAAGGUUGUUGCUAUGCAACACAACCCCAUGUUUUUAGAAAAAUUAGUAAUGCCUUAGAAAAGCACUGAGAAUGUUGUGGAGAAAGAAGGGGCUCAUGACUCAGCAUGACAAGGAGAGGAACCUGAAAGAUAGGUAAAUGCAGGAGGGCAGCCUGAAAAAGGCUAAGAAAUGUUGGGUGUUGAAGUAUUUUUGUACCUAGCAGGAACCCUGCUUGUAAAGUGAGUAUGGUCAAGUUUUAUUAAAGAGGGUUUUUUUUUUUUUUUUUUUUUUUUUGGCAGGAGCUAGAAACAAGCUGCUUCUAUAGAAAUAAAGCACUUCCUUCUUGUGUAUUGUAUACCAUGCUGUCUACCCCUUCACAUUUUAAUGAAAGAGAGGACCGAUUAAUAUUCUUUCAUAUAUUUGUUGGAGUAGGAACUUAGAGCUGACAGUUACAGUUUCUGAGAGUUAAAAAAAUUAAAAACACUGUUUUGCCAAAGAUCAUAAUUGUUCUCUAACUCUUAUACAAGAUGAUUUUGGUAAGGAUAAAAAGGUUUCCACAGAGUAUUCAUGUUUGCAUGAGUGUUCAAAUGUAAAAUAUUCUAUAGAAAAGCAUCAGUAGGUAAUAGAUGCAGAUGAGCAGACUCAAAGCACACAUUCAUAAAACACAACAAAAAUCAUCCAGAUCACUUUGCAACAUCCCUAUACAUUGUGGACAAUACUAUGUUUUCAGAAACAAGUCCAAAUAACUAUUGGUGAUACCCUAAAGAAACAUCCUAGUCGACAUUAAGAAAACUCUUCAAAACACUAACAAAAUUUCUUCUAUCAAAUAAGGAGUCUGAAAUUAGGGAGCCUCAAGGGGGUUUCAGUUCUAACAUUCUGUAAGUCAAUGACUUUUAUUAGCCACUAAAAGCUGAAAUAUAGACUAAAUUCUCCUAAAAUUAAACAUUUGUUUAAAAAGACAAAUCAUAAAGAAUUCAGAAGGCUGUAAGUCUCUUUGGAGGCUGACAGAAGUGUGGCAUGUAGUUAUUAUCGAAGUCCAUGAGGGGACAAGAGUUCUGAGCAUUGUCUAUUUUGAGUGUCAACUAUGAGAAAGUCAAUCUGGCAAGCAUUUUAUAUACAUCAUCCUAUUUUAGAGUAAAAAUGAAGUUUUAGAAGUUUUAAGUAUCAGUGAGGCCCAGGAAACCACAAAUGUCACAUUCAUAUUCUCGAACAAUUUAAUCUGAAGCACUGACAAGCAUUAGGAGACAUUAAAUAAAGAGAAAUGGCAUUAAUAAUAACAGCCUGGAAUAUUAAAGCUGAGCUUGCUACAUGACCUGAGAUAGCUGGACUGUAUAGGUGCUGCAUGGAGUUGAUUUAGAUUCAUUCAACAAAGAAAGAGUGAAAUAUAUUGUUUAUAAUUCCCUGAAAAACACACACACACAUACACACACUUCAAAUAAUUGUAACUGUGAAAGCAAAAUAAAGAACUAAAAAAUCAUAAGCUUCAAACUUAAAUAAAACCAUGGGCCAUAAAAAAUUGAUUACAAGCCUGGAGAGAAAAGAAUCGUGCUGACAUAUGUGCUUUGUAACUUCCAUAAACUGUGCUGAGUAUUACUCAUUUCAGUAACAGAAGGAAGUAUACAAAGAACAGGUCUGUUAGGACUUUGGGGUGGGAUGUGUGUUAGUAAAAGACUUAGUUAAGAUUCCUUAGUUAAGAUUCUUUUUGCUUAUAUAAGCUCUUUUUCUUAUUAUCUUGGAUGAUAGCUUUUCCGUUUUAACAUUGACUGAGAAGGGGCAAAGGCUCUCAAAGUUAUUCACCUGAAACUACAAAAUGUAUUUAAAAGCAUAAGGAAUGUAACUUUUAACCAAGGCUCUAGGCUCUAGAUAUCACAAAGCCAGUUAGAUUCAAUGGCUUGUUAUGGUGAAUUUUAUCUACCCAGGCUGUAAACAAAGCCACCAGCUUAGUGAAUAUUAAUCCAUUACUUUAGGAAUAAUCUCGCUAGCCUUGUGUUAAUUCAACUUGUCACAUAGCCUAGUUUCUCUUCUUAGAUUGCUACUGCAUUUUGAGGCCGGCUUUUUUUAUUUUUAUUUUUUAUUUUUUUUGCAAACUACUGAAAUAAAGACUACAUCUAGCAGUUUCUCAGCCAAAUAUGACAUACAAUUUCAUCUUUCACAAUAGCCACAUGCGGCAACCUGGGCACAACAACCAAGAAUGGAAUACCUUGGUGAAAACUUCAGGUGGCCAGUGAGUCUAAAUAAAUGGGCAAAUAGUUUAGACUAUAUGUAAGGAAUUCUCAAAUAGUUCUAAGAAGAAAUCAAAUAAUAGCCAUCAUGCUUGAAUGACAUGGACAGGGCAGUUGUUUCUUUAUCUUGUGAUCCAACUUCCCCAUACGAAUGUGAAAGAAAGCAGUAUCAACAACAUAGUUUGUGAGGAAGGUGAAGUAAUGUCUACUACAAGAAAGAACAUUUUAAAAAUCAAGGAAGUAUCUCUGUCUCUAAUUCUCUUCCCAAGGGACAUUUUCUGAUUAAGUAAAAUCUCAUGCCUUAGUCAAAGAUAAUAUGUUAGAAAAGUACUGUGCUGAAAUUCAUGGUGUGAAAUUACAGACCAGCCCGAAUCAAAUAUUGUUAUUCAAUUUUAAAUAGCUUCAAUUACUAAGAGUUUGUAAUCAACAAAGAAAUAUAAUUUAACACUUAAUUUUCAUAUUUGAUAUGUAAAUAGGAGGAUUACUAACAAAUAUUCUAAUUAUUCUUUAUGAUUUACUAUUGGUCCAUGUUUAAUUAUGAAAUGUGUAACAAGAUAUCAUCCCAUCAGCUCUAUUGCUAUGCACUAUAUUUCCUGCAAAUAUAUUAGACAUGUUCUAUAGUUGAUGGACAUUAUGGUAGAUUCAACUCUGAUCAAUCACUGUUAUAUUUUCACUACCUGGAAAAUGACAAUAUUUACAGCUGUCUUCAUGCUUUUACUUAUACAUUAUAGAAAACAAGAAAGUGCUAUUUGAUAAUAAUUAGAUAGCAUCAAACAGAUUUUAGAGUAAUAUGAAACAGUGUAACAAUUUAGAAUGCUCUAUCUGGUGAUUUGUUAAACAUGCCAAUUUUGCUUGGUUAUAUGAAAGCAAUUUUCUUUAGUAUGAGUCAGAUUCUUUCCAGGGUACUCCAUGGAUCAGUGCAAUUUGUUGUACUACAUACAGAAAUGUUAAAUGACCUAUAUAAAGUUUAAUUUUGUAUGUCAACUUGGCUAGGAUAUGGUAACCAGAUAGUGUUCUAGAUGUUUCUGUAAAAGUAUAUUUAAAGAUGAGAUUAUAAUUUAAGUCAGUUGACUUUGAGUAAAACAGAUUACCCUCAUAAUGUGGAUGGGCCUCUCUGAAUUAGUGAAAAGCCUUAAUAAAAAAAGACUGAUGUCUCCUGAAGAAGAUGGAAUUCUGCCGGCAGGUUGCCUUAGGACUUGAACUGCUGCACUGGUUCUUCCUCCCCUGGGUCUCCAGCCUGCUGGCCUAUCCUGUAGAUUUUGGGCUUGCUAGUCUCUAUGGCUGCAUGAGCCAAUUCCUUAAAAUAAAUUUAUUUCUGUCUGUUUAUAUACAUCCUACUGUUCUCUUUCUCUAUAGAAGGCUAAUGCAAACUAUUUAUUGGAAUGAUAAAAGAUACCUUUAAAGUGUCUUAGAAAUACAUUAUUCUUGAAUGCCUUUGAUAUUUCUUGAAAUUUCAGGGAAUAAAAAAUAAUAUAGAAGCAAAAUUUUGAGGAAAAUAGCUCUUAGAUUUCAGCCUAUGUAGAUCAGAGUAAACUGAAUUCUACUUGUUCUGCAGAAGAAAAUAUGAGACAAAAAUUAAGAAAGAGGAAAAAAGUUUUAUUUCACACUGCAAAUUGUAAACAAGUUUCUCUAAUUAGCAUUAGAUUUUCUCUAUUGCUCAAUAAAAUGGUAAACAGGAAAGUUUUUGUUCUUUAGUUUCUUUUAAAAUUUUCUUAGUAAACAAAUAUUGUCAAUGGUGUAUACAUUUCCAGCAUCCUUUCCAGCAUCCUAUUUGCACUGCCAUUGUCCAUGUUUAAAAUUAAGGGAGGUGGUAGAAUGCAGUGAUUUAGAAUUAGGCUGCAGAUCUGCACUGUCGAACAUGGGAGGCACUACCGACGAGCAGCUAUUUACAUUAAAAGUAAUUUAACUAAAUAAAA